This is a long non-coding RNA of Piliocolobus tephrosceles (Ugandan red Colobus), 1319 nucleotides long. RefSeq lists it as uncharacterized. Lineage: Eukaryota; Metazoa; Chordata; Mammalia; Primates; Cercopithecidae. The record is from RefSeq and is a predicted model, not a curated record. The transcript is spliced from 3 exons.
AGCCCCGGCGCGGGAGCGCGAACCGGCGCGAGGGAGCGAGAACGCGCGCGCCCCCCCCGCAGCCGCCACCGCCCACACCCUCCGCCCCCGGCCGGCGGCGCACGCGCAAGGGAGCGGGCGGACGGGCGCGCGCACGCCGCAGGGGGCGGGGAUGGGCCCUGGAAGGCGUGGCCCCGCCCCUAGCCCGCCUACCCACGCGGUCGCUGGGCUGGGUGAGCUGCGCCGCUGCAGGUAGUGCUGAGUUGCUCCAGGUGAGCUCUUCCUGGCAAAAAGCUCUUGGAACCCAGCCACCCUCGCCCUAGCAGCAACGCUCCUGAAUAAUAUGGGGUUUCGUCGGAUUUCUGCGCGCCGCUCUGGAUCACACGUUUGUUCUCCCUAGUUGAGUCGCAAGGCCUUCCUUCGUUCCACGUAGCAGGCUGCUUGGAAAAGGGCAGAGACUGUCAUUAUUUUGCACCAGUGCCACUGGGUUAGGUUCUCCACGACCAAGCUGGUCUCGGCAAGUGGUGUCCAUACCUGGGGUUCGAACCAAGGUCAAAGAGUCAUUGGAGUGAUGGUUGGAGAACGUGGAACUAAGCUGGAGGUCACCCAAGUAUUCUUAAGCAAUCCCCGUGGACCGAAUCAACAGCUGAUUUGGAUACCAUCAAGACACCUGAAACCUUACCGUGAGCCAGAUGCCAAGGAAGAGAUUCCAGGAGGAUCCCGAGGACUUCCCGGUUGCAGCCAUGUCGAGACUGACACUGAGGAGGACCCCAACUGUCACGAGCAAUGCCCAUCGAAGGCAGCCACCUACCAGGGGACAGAUCAAGAAGCUGUCACAGAUGUUGGAAGAAAACCUGAGGAAAGUGGGACAACCAGUCACAAUAAAUAAUUUAAUGAUAGCUACGAUAGUGGUGAUCACCAUUGCCAUGAGUAUUCCUUCAACAAGGGCUAACACAGAGAACAAUUAUACUUAUUGGGCAUAUUUGUCAAUCUUGGCUGGCAAUAAUGCCUGGAUGUAAUCACUCUAUGACACAGUUACGCAUAUUUUCUAGUCUCAGUAUUUACCAAAAUAAAUCUGCUCCUAUAAUUGAGGCAUGCCACCCUCAAAAACCUAUUUGUAAACGAAAUUGAACCUGGCCAGAAAAACUGAAUAUACUUGUUGGGGAAGAUUGCAUUGCAAAACAGGCAGAGGUGCUACGCAACAAUUCCUAUGGAAUCAUUGUUGAUUGGUCCCCUAAGGGGAUGUUUAGCUUGAAUUACACCUCUCAGUCUGCCUACCAUGGCCACACUGUUUUCAGCUGGUCUGAACAAAAUGGUCAAAUGGUAGAAAUGGUAAGAAA